UACGUAGGGUGCAAGCGUUGUCCGGAAUUAUUGGGCGUAAAGAGCUUGUAGGCGGUUUGUCGCGUCUGCUGUGAAAUUUCGGGGCUCAACCCCGAACUUGCAGUGGGUACGGGCAGACUAGAGUUCGGUAGGGGAGACUGGAAUUCCUGGUGUAGCGGUGAAAUGCGCAGAUAUCAGGAGGAACACCGGUGGCGAAGGCGGGUCUCUGGGCCGAAACUGACGCUGAGGAGCGAAAGCGUGGGGAGCAAACAGG
RNAcentral lists this ribosomal RNA (253 nucleotides) under uncultured bacterium. Its description in RNAcentral is "partial 16S ribosomal RNA". It matches the Rfam family "Bacterial small subunit ribosomal RNA", at positions 524 to 776 of the family's 1533-position model. The record is from RNAcentral.